Molecule: ribosomal RNA, 253 nt
Filed under: uncultured bacterium
Lineage: Bacteria
Description: partial 16S ribosomal RNA
Rfam family: Bacterial small subunit ribosomal RNA
Source: RNAcentral
UACGAAGGGGGCUAGCGUUGCUCGGAAUCACUGGGCGUAAAGCGCACGUAGGCGGAUCUUUAAGUCAGGGGUGAAAUCCUGGAGCUCAACUCCAGAACUGCCUUCGAUACUGGAAAGCUCGAGUCCGGGAGAGGUGAGUGGAACUGCGAGUGUAGAGGUGAAAUUCGUAGAUAUUGGGAGGAACACCAGUGGCGAAGGCGGCUCACUGGACCGGAACUGACGCUGAGGCGCGAAAGCGUGGGGAGCAAACGGG